Long non-coding RNA from Hippocampus comes (tiger tail seahorse), 229 nucleotides. RefSeq lists it as uncharacterized. NCBI's taxonomy places the organism in Eukaryota, Metazoa, Chordata, Actinopteri, Syngnathiformes, Syngnathidae. The transcript is spliced from 2 exons. The record is from RefSeq and is a predicted model, not a curated record.
GCGGCACAGCGUCGCCGCUGUUUGUGCUGCGGUAACAGCAACAAUGCAGUUUUUAAUGAUGAUGGUGUGAGCUCCUCUGCUACACGAUCCCAAACAUCAAUUCGUUCCAAAUUAACACACCUGGAGGAUGUACGAGUAAGUAAACCUGCGGAGUGGUUUUGGACAACACGUUGAACCUGCAGGAUCUUAGAGGGGUUUCCUGUUUGAGAAGAACAUUUUCCUGGGGUCA